AUGCCACCGAAGAAGAAGGAUUCGGAGGCAGCUGUUCCGUCUGCGUCGCUUUCACCGCUUUCGGAGCAAACGGGUGGUGGAGUGGACGCCGGCGGAAGAAUGGGUGUCGAUGAGGGAGCCCUCAGUGUGGCCAAGUCCAAGGACAAGGCGGCACAGACCUCGGCGUCCAUGCGCGCACCGCGCCCCUCUCAGGAGGCGCGGGACCAGCAGCGUCAUGGUGUUCGUAGCGCCAUACGUCCGCUGGGCCAAGAUCAAGCUGGUGGUUCUCGUGGCGCUCAAGACCAACAUGCACGUCAACAUGGUGGCUCGAGCAAAGUACGGUGGCCUGGACGGGGCACUGCUCCUUCUAACGUGGUUAGAAGU
RNAcentral lists this ribosomal RNA (363 nucleotides) under Triticum aestivum (bread wheat). RNAcentral's name for it is "partial small subunit ribosomal RNA". The record is from RNAcentral. Lineage: Eukaryota; Viridiplantae; Streptophyta; Magnoliopsida; Poales; Poaceae.